CGCGUAGGCGGCCGCCUAAGUCAGACGUGAAAUCCCCAAGCUUAACUUGGGAACUGCGUCUGAUACUGGGUGGCUUGAGUUCGGGAGAGGAAUGUGGAAUUCCAGGUGUAGCGGUGAAAUGCGUAGAUAUCUGGAGGAACACCGGUGGCGAAGGCGGCAUUCUGGACCGAAACUGACGCUGAGGCGCGAAAGCCAGGGGAGCAAACG
RNAcentral lists this ribosomal RNA (207 nucleotides) under uncultured bacterium. RNAcentral describes it as "partial 16S ribosomal RNA". It matches the Rfam family "Bacterial small subunit ribosomal RNA", at positions 568 to 774 of the family's 1533-position model. The record is from RNAcentral.